RNAcentral lists this ribosomal RNA (476 nucleotides) under uncultured bacterium. Its description in RNAcentral is "partial 16S ribosomal RNA". It matches the Rfam family "Bacterial small subunit ribosomal RNA", at positions 28 to 523 of the family's 1533-position model. The record is from RNAcentral.
GAUGAACGCUGGCGGCGUGCUUAACACAUGCAAGUCGAGCGAGUGAGUUCUUCGGAACGAUCUAGCGGCGGACGGGUGAGUAACACGUGGGCAACCUGCCUCAUAGAUGGGAAUAGCCUCCCGAAAGGGAGAUUAAUACCGCAUAAAAUUAUCGAGUGGCAUCACAUGCUAAUCAAAGGAGUAAUCCGCUAUGAGAUGGGCCCGCGGCGCAUUAGCUAGUCGGUGAGGUAACGGCUCACCAAGGCGACGAUGCGUAGCCGACCUGAGAGGGUGAUCGGCCACAAUGGGACUGAGACACGGCCCAGACUCCUACGGGAGGCAGCAGUGGGGAAUAUUGCACAAUGGGGGAAACCCUGAUGCAGCAACGCCGCGUGAGUGAUGAAGGUCUUCGGAUUGUAAAGCUCUGUCUUUGGGGACGAUAAUGACGGUACCCAAGGAGGAAGCCACGGCUAACUACGUGCCAGCCGCCGCAGUAA